CCUACGGGAGGCUGCAGUGAGGAAUAUUGGUCAAUGGGCUUACGCCUGAACCAGCCAAGUCGCGUGAGGGAAGACUGCCCUAUGGGUUGUAAACCUCUUUUGUCAGGGAGCAACGCCGGCUACGUGUAGCCGGACUGAGAGUACCUGAAGAAAAAGCAUCGGCUAACUCCGUGCCAGCAGCCGCGGUAAUACGGAGGGGGCAAGCGUUAUCCGGAAUUAUUGGGCGUAAAGAGUACGUAGGUGGCAACCUAAGCGCAGGGUUUAAGGCAAUGGCUCAACCAUUGUUCGCCCUGCGAACUGGGAGGCUUGAGUGCAGGAGAGGAAAGCGGAAUUCCUAGUGUAGCGGUGAAAUGCGUAGAUAUUAGGAGGAACAGCAGUGGCGAAGGCGGCGUUCUGGACUGUAACUGACACUGAGGUACGAAAGCGUGGGGAGCAAACAGGAUUAGAUACCCGUGUAGU
RNAcentral lists this ribosomal RNA (459 nucleotides) under uncultured bacterium. RNAcentral describes it as "partial 16S ribosomal RNA". It matches the Rfam family "Bacterial small subunit ribosomal RNA", at positions 338 to 794 of the family's 1533-position model. The record is from RNAcentral.